CCUACGGGAGGCAGCAGUGAGGAAUAUUGGUCAAUGGGCGAGAGCCUGAACCAGCCAAGUCGCGUGAAGGAUGAAGUAUCUAUGGAUUGUAAACUCUUUUUAUAUGGGAAUAAAGUGAGGUACGUGAUUCAUUAUGUACGUAUCACAUGAAUACGCAUCGGCCAAUUACGUGCCAGCAGCCGCGGUAAUACGGAGGAUGCGAGCGUUAUCCGGAUUUAGUGGGUUUAAAGGGUGCGUAGGUGGUUAAUUAAGUCUGCAGUGAAAGGUUGUGGCUCAACCAUAAGAUUGCCGUUGAAACUGGUUGGCUUGAGUAUAUGUGAGGUAAGCGGAAUGCGUGGUGUAGCGGUGAAAUGCGUAGAUAUCACGCAGAACUCCGGUUGCGAAGGCAGCUUACUAAACUGUAACUGACGCUGAGGCACGAAAGCGUGGGGAUCAAACAGGAUUAGAUACCCCAGUAGUC
RNAcentral lists this ribosomal RNA (460 nucleotides) under uncultured bacterium. RNAcentral's name for it is "partial 16S ribosomal RNA". It matches the Rfam family "Bacterial small subunit ribosomal RNA", at positions 338 to 795 of the family's 1533-position model. The record is from RNAcentral.